RNAcentral lists this ribosomal RNA (372 nucleotides) under uncultured organism. Its description in RNAcentral is "bacterial SSU rRNA". It matches the Rfam family "Bacterial small subunit ribosomal RNA", at positions 526 to 896 of the family's 1533-position model. The record is from RNAcentral.
CGAACCGAGCGAACGUUGUUCGGAAUCACUGGGCUUAAAGGGUGCGUAGGCGGGCUGCCAAGUUUGGGGUGUAAUCCUCCGGCUCAACCGGGGAAGUGCCUUGAAUACUGGCGGUCUCGAGGGAGGUAGGGGCGUGCGGAACUAACGGUGGAGCGGUGAAAUGCGUUGAUAUCGUUAGGAACUCCGGUGGCGAAGGCGGCACGCUAGACCUCUUCUGACGCUGAGGCACGAAAGCCAGGGGAGCGAACGGGAUUAGAUACCCCCGGUAGUCCUGGCCCUAAACGUUGAGAACUAGGUAGCAGGCCGGACAUGGGCUUGCUGCCGGAGCAAAAGUGCUAAGUUCUCCGCCUGGGGAGUAUGGUCGCAAGGCUG